Molecule: ribosomal RNA, 468 nt
Filed under: uncultured bacterium
Lineage: Bacteria
Description: partial 16S ribosomal RNA
Rfam family: Bacterial small subunit ribosomal RNA
Source: RNAcentral
GACGAACGCUGGCGGCGUGCUUAACACAUGCAAGUCGAACGGAAAGGCCCUGCUUUUGUGGGGUGCUCGAGUGGCGAACGGGUGAGUAACACGUGAGUAACCUGCCCUUGACUUUGGGAUAACUUCAGGAAACUGGGGCUAAUACCGGAUAGGAGCUCCUGCUGCAUGGUGGGGGUUGGAUAUUUUCGGCGGUUGGGGAUGGACUCGCGGCUUAUCAGCUUGUUGGUGGGGUAGUGGCUUACCAAGGCUUUGACGGGUAGCCGGCCUGAGAGGGUGACCGGCCACAUUGGGACUGAGAUACGGCCCAGACGCGUACGGGAGGCAGCAGUGGGGAAUAUUGCACAAUGGGCGGAAGCCGGAUGCAGCAACGCCGCGUGCGGGAUGACGGCCUUCGGGUUGUAAACCGCUUUCGCCUGUGACGAAGCGUGAGUGACGGUAAUGGGUAAAGAAGCACCGGCUAACUACGUG